ACCCUCUGUUCGAACACCAGCUGUGAAGAUUGCACUGAAUUGUUGAAUAAUCUCUGCUAAUGUAAUUUGCAUAGGUGGGCAAAUAAACAGCCAGAGGAUGUAAAGAAUUCUUGUUAAAGAAAACCAAAAGCCCUAAAUAUCUUAAAUGUCUGGAAAUUUAACAUCUUUUUAAGCUCUGUAUUUUUGGCUUGACUAAUAACAUUUACAUAAUCAGAGAAGAAUCUGGUGACGACAUUACAUUGCUCAUUACAUCAACUGGUGUCAGAGAGAAUGAUGAAAGAGCAGCCUUUUAAGAUUUUACUGAGAAGGUAAGACUUAUGUUCCUUUUCAGGUCCUGCAUAUUACUUCUUACUAGCUUUCACUGGUUUCCCCUCUAAAUAAGAAUUAAAGACUAGUGCUAUCUAUCCAGAAAUCUUGCUGAAGGCAGGAGUAAGAACCAUACAGGAAAACAUAUUGUUCAGAAGGACUAGUUUGUCCCUGUAUUGACUAUCUGUACUUUCUUCUGAGGACGUGAUCUCCUCUCUUCAGCUUGUGACGUCCCAGAUUUUCUGGAGAGCCAUUCCCUUUGGCAGUCCUGCCACAGCCAAGUCUCUGUGACAUGACCUGAUCCAAAUGGCACACAACGUGUCAGCCUCCUGUCAUUUUUCCACUUGGCAUGCUGCAGUGUGCUGUUUAUUCUCGAAAACAACAGCGAAAGAAAAAGACUCAGAAAUGUGUUUUCUGACACACAAAUUGGCCUCCCUUUGGAAAGCAACCUUGCUGUCAAAAGGCAGGGUGCAGGAGAAUGUGUUUCUGGCAUAAAAGCUGCCCUUAACCUCACAGCAGGAGCACCCCAAGAAGUCUUGGAAAUUGAAGGCUCCUUUUAUUGUAAAAAAAGGUAAGAAUUCAUCUGCUUUAAAUUUUUUCCCCCAUAAUAAUCAGGUGUGUGGUUCAGAUAAUACCAUAUUGACUCUUUGAUUCUGUUGCUUUAAUACGACUUCACCAUCAUCUCUGUGAAGAGUAUAUAUGAUAUAUAUGAUAACACUGUAUGAGAAAAUCUAGCAGUUUAGUAUUCACUCUAUAUAUCAAAUAGCUGGGCAUCAAACUGCCUGAACUUUGACUUCAGUGCAACUUUCUGGAACAAUUUUUUCC
RNAcentral lists this long non-coding RNA (1131 nucleotides) under Lonchura striata (white-rumped munia). RNAcentral's name for it is "domestica (Bengalese finch) lncRNA (ENSLSDG00000008334.1)". The record is from RNAcentral. Lineage: Eukaryota; Metazoa; Chordata; Aves; Passeriformes; Estrildidae.